This 504-nucleotide ribosomal RNA is filed under the name uncultured bacterium. RNAcentral's name for it is "partial 16S ribosomal RNA". It matches the Rfam family "Bacterial small subunit ribosomal RNA", at positions 30 to 523 of the family's 1533-position model. The record is from RNAcentral.
AUUGAACGCUGGCGGCAUGCCUUACACAUGCAAGUCGAACGGCAGCAUGGAGAGCUUGCUCUCUGAUGGCGAGUGGCGAACGGGUGAGUAAUGCAUCGGAACGUACCGUGUAAUGGGGGAUAACGUAGCGAAAGUUACGCUAAUACCGCAUACGACCUGAGGGUGAAAGCAGGGGAUCGCAAGACCUUGCGUUAUACGAGCGGCCGAUGUCAGAUUAGCUAGUUGGUGAGGUAAAGGCUCACCAAGGCGACGAUCUGUAGCGGGUCUGAGAGGAUGAUCCGCCACACUGGGACUGAGACACGGCCCAGACUCCUACGGGAGGCAGCAGUGGGGAAUUUUGGACAAUGGGGGAAACCCUGAUCCAGCCAUGCCGCGUGAGUGAAGAAGGCCUUCGGGUUGUAAAGCUCUUUCGGCCGGGAAGAAAUCGCACAGGCUAAUACUCUGUGUGGAUGACGGUACCGGCAUAAGAAACACCGGCUAACUACGUGCCAGCAGCAGCCGCCG